This 1705-nucleotide unclassified non-coding RNA is filed under the name Daphnia magna. RNAcentral describes it as "uncharacterized LOC116918603, transcript variant X1". Lineage: Eukaryota; Metazoa; Arthropoda; Branchiopoda; Diplostraca; Daphniidae. The record is from RNAcentral.
GACAAACUUAUUUAUGAUUAAAAGUGUUCUGUCGCAGUUUUAUUAUUUCAUUUUCGACUUGAUAUCAUAAUUGUGAAUUGUGAUAUUGUGAUUUUUAUUUGGCUUGAGGCUUGUAGCUUGUUCUUCCUUACCCUUACUCCCUUUGCAUUUGUAUGUAUAUUCCCUACCUCCUGGCAGUACUGCAAUUACAUUACCGUAGCGUCUGCUUGUGUGCGUGUGUAUAGAUUUCGCCCGCCCGAAAUUCUUCAUGUAGUGUUCGCAUGAAUAGUUCUUGGACCUAUUCCUUUGCUUCAAAUUGUUUAGAUAAAAAAUGACGAGAGAUACUGUUAGGUCUAGUUUGAGCUAUUUGGCGCAAGCUAUUUUCUGUCAAAGGUUUAAAUUUUUGUGAAACAAUGUCCAGGCAAAAUUCCAAUUUCGUCUCGAGGACCCAGUCGUUCGAAAGGUCUCGCCGGUUCAUUCAAUCUGUAUCUGAUAUAUAUGGAAAAGACGAAAUGGAAGAGUUACUUGACGAAAUCCGCCAUCUAGAACCUUGCAAUUUUCAGUCUGGGGACAUACAGGACUUUGAAAUCAAUGGAAGUCGUCACCUGCAAAACACAGGAGAAUCAACUAUAUCGGUGUCUGUUCAGUCCUGGGACUCUCACGCUAUGUAUCGUCACAGAACAGAUAACAUGAAAGCUCCAGUUGAGGUUAUCCAAUCUAUACUAGUUCAUUUCCGCCCUUCACAGUGCUUGGAGAAACUGGAGCUUUUCCGAUUGGCAUUUCUGACAUGUUGCAUUGGAAGUCUGACUUGUGUAUAUCUCAGUGAAUGGAUGUAUCUAUCAUCCUUCCUUGUCUUCAUAGUUUUAUUUUCAGCAUUAUGCACCAUUUGGCUACUUAUUGCUGACACUAUAGGAAUCAUAUACUUCUUGCCAAUACCAUGGCACAAGUUUAAUACUCUUCUCUUCCUAUGCAUAGCUGUGGCUCUUCUAACAGUCUCUUCCUUACUUAUUCAUCAUAUUAACCUACCUUCUAUGCUGGAUGAAACCCUUACAGAAGAUAGCCUAUAUUUUCUUCACAUAGCUGGAAUACUCAGCCUGUUGGCCUCGCUCCUAGCCCUCAUUCAAAGCCUCCUAACGUCUUUUGGUCGACCUUAUCCCAUAUGGUGUUCUGCUUAUAAAAAUGAACCAGGCUGCCCUAGCCCUGUGUCUCCACCAGCAUCAUUGCCAGAAUCCCCUACAACUCGUCCAGUCAUGGCGACGAUGGCUGCUCUGGCUGGCAUGUCCUCCGCAGUCGUGGCUACCGCACCUCGACUAGGGAACCGUAACCGUAGUGCUUUGCAUGAUCGAGAGCAAGUACCUCUUCGAUCAGUCAGAAACUCCGUCAGCUGGGACGAUGGAGUGAAACCAAGCAGCUCUCGGUUAAAGCAACUUAACGAGUACCCUCCGUUGCUAAAUGAAACAUGAAAAACAAACAGCGCUUCAAAUUUGUCAAUGGUUAGAAUUUAUGUCCGAAUGACAGUGAAGUUGCAGAGGAAAUUAACUGAAUGUUCAACGAUGGCCCGAAGGUUCGCGUAUGCGGUUCUUCCAGAUUUGUAUUAACCCAAUGGUCGAAUUUUCCUAUUGGGCACUACAUAUAAUGUUACACCACCAGAGGACCUCCAACAAUGUUUGGUACGAACUGUAAAGAUAUUGUGUAUUCGUAGUGUUAAUAUACAUUUGAAGCACAA